AUGUUAUCCUGCCCACCCAGGUGCAGCAGCAGGAACGGGGCCCAAAACGCCAUCAACUCGUGAUCGCUUGACCUGCUCGUCACGGACAGGUGGCCGAGGGUGUAUAUCGCCGUUGAGUCGGCCAGCAUGUACGCCGACCAAACCAAGGCCCUUAGCAUGCCGGAGUCCAUGCGUCGGCGGAGCUCCGCCAGCACGAGAAGCAUUAGCUGCAUCGUGAAGCUCAUGAGCACCAUCACUUGGAUCCCGCGUUCUUGCCAUGUCUGCACCUGCAGCUCCACUUUGGCCAUUGCUUGUUUCUCGAUCCACUUAAAAAACAAAUAA
This 321-nucleotide ribosomal RNA is filed under the name Triticum aestivum (bread wheat). Its description in RNAcentral is "partial small subunit ribosomal RNA". Lineage: Eukaryota; Viridiplantae; Streptophyta; Magnoliopsida; Poales; Poaceae. The record is from RNAcentral.